Molecule: small nuclear RNA, 106 nt
Filed under: Notamacropus eugenii (tammar wallaby)
Lineage: Eukaryota; Metazoa; Chordata; Mammalia; Diprotodontia; Macropodidae
Source: RNAcentral
GUGCUUACUUCAACAGCACAUAUAUAAUAUUGGAGCAAGACACAGAAAAUUAGCAAAGCUCCUAUGAAAGAAUGACAUGCAGAUUUGUGAAGAGUUCCAUAUUUUG